Molecule: long non-coding RNA, 2445 nt
Organism: Quercus robur (English oak)
Lineage: Eukaryota; Viridiplantae; Streptophyta; Magnoliopsida; Fagales; Fagaceae
Exons: 2
Source: RefSeq, a predicted model, not a curated record
UUGUGACAUAAAAUUGUGCCAAUUUAUGUCUCCUUAGCAUUACUCAUUUUGCAUAAACAAAACCCAACCCAUUCUCAGAUAACAAAAUUCUUCUCAUAAACACGGAAGGGUAAUAACUUAGUAACGAGGCAGAGACAAAAAAUUUCACAUGAUGAGUUGUGGCAAUAAUUGUGAGAUUGUGAGAUUGUUGAUACAAAACAGGGGAAGGGGGAUGCAAAUACAAUAAGAAACUAUCAGCAAUUGAGCAUCCUUCUUUAGCCAAAAGGUUUGCACAAUGGUCGCCCUUGCAGUAGGUGUGAGAGAUGAGCGCUUCCUCAAAAGAUUGGAGGAGUAAUCUGCAGUCAGAAAUCAAGGAACUACAAGGGUGAGUGGAGAAAGAGUUAUCAUUUUGGAUGUUGAUGAUGUCUGUGACUACUUUUGCAUCAAGCUUAAUGUGCAGUUUUUUGAUGUUUACGUUUUUGGCCAAAGUAAGGCCAUCUUAGAGGGCCCACAGUUCAACAGCUAAGGAGUGAGUGAAGGCGAUAUUCCUUAAGAAACCACUUAUCCAGUUGCCUUUAUAAUCCCUAAUGAGACCACCAGCACCCACCAUACCUGAGUUUCCUUUGGCCGAGCCAUCAGUGUUUAGCUUGAAAAAACCCAAAAGAGAGGGCUUCCAACUAAUAGAGAGGGAUUUUCGAUUGGGUUUCAGAGAUUUAUGGGGAAGAGAGGAGAAGAGUUCAAGGGAUAGAGAUUGAAUCCUUUUGAGGAUGCUAUCGGGGAAGAAAAGGUAUUUUCCAUGACCAGUUUGUUUCUGGCAGACCAUAUUGCCCAAGCCGAGAUGGAGAAGAUUAAUUUCCAAGGGAUGUCGAGGAAGAGGGAUGUGGAAGAGGAGGUGUAGACAUAUUUUUAAUCUAGGCGAGAGGAGAGGUUGAGGAAAAAAAAGUGGCAAGGGGGAUAAGGAGUGAGUUUGGACCAGAUUGGUUGAACAGAAGGGCAACCUCUAAGAGUAUGCAGUGUUGUUUCGAGAGUAGUAAGAUAGAGGGGGCAAUUGGGGUCAUUUAUAAUUUUUAUUUUGUGGAGAAGAGGUUUUGUGGGGAGACUGUUGUGGCAUGAAAGCCAGAGGAAGGUGGUGAUUCUUAGGAGGGUGGGGAUUUUCCAUAACCAUUUCCAGUUGGGUUUUAGGAUCAUGGGAUCAAGCUCACAAGCAAGGAGGUAGGCUGAGCUUGAGCUGAAUUGGCCAUUUGGGGAAGGCAACUAGUAGAUAGAGUCAUGAGGCAGGGAGUUGAUAGGUUUAGGAGUAGCUCUAAUGAUGUCUGAAAGGUGACUAGAGAGGUGGAAGGAGAGGCGGUGCAGCUACCAAUUUCCAAAAUGAUCCCAAAGAUUGUAAACUUUGAGGGAAUCUUCAUUCUUGGUGAGGGGGCCAUGAAUUAAACUGCAAAUAGUGCCCCUACCAGUCCAAUUAUCUUUCCAGAAGCUGGCUGAUGUUCCAUUGCCUAAACGCCACCGUGUACCAAGAAAGCGAAUGAUGUUGGUUUUGAGGAGGCUAUCCCAAGUGAUAGAAAGCUUUUUAGAGGUGGAAUGGUUUGGGGGGUAUUUGCUGCGAAGCGUUACAGCCCAAAUGUCAUUAGAGUUAGUACAGAGGGCCCAAGAGUGUUUAGUAAGGAGGGCUUUGUUUCUGACAAAGCUUUUUUUUAUUCCGGGCUAGAAACUUUGGGCUUGUCACUGUGUCCCAAUUUUUUAAGUGCAGUUUUUUGUGUGGGUCGAUGUCACCCCAAAGGAAAUUUCUGUUGGUCUUAUCAAUUUCUUUGCAGAUGUGGUGGGACAGGAAGGAUGCAAAUGGAGGCAUUAAGUGCAAAACGUAGCUAAUUGGGCAAUUUUGGACAGCUUUGACAUCACUUUGUAAUCUGGGCAUAACUCUCUCAUCUAAGCUCCGAUUGAGAUGGUUCAAGAUUCUAUGGAACGCAAAGACAAAGCUCUACAACUUUCAUGUUUUGAAUUUUGAGAGCUACGGGAUGUAUCAAGGUCAAAAUCGGGCUUGAAGUUGCUGCACCUGCACUGUUGACGUUCUGGAAUGUUCAUUUGCUUGCAAUUCUAAUACGCAGAUCUGAUGCGGUUUAUUUUUGGAAGCUUCCAGAUCUGAUGCACGAAAAUUCCAGCUGAAAAACACCACUUUCCUAGUUAUAUUAGGACUUUGUUUUAUUUUUAAUAUUUUUCCUUAAUUAGUCAGAUUUGGAUAUUAUUAUUCAGAAUAUUUUUAGGAGAUUUUGGAGGCUUGGGAAAGGGGGAAUUAACGUGUAAAAGGGGGAGGAGAAAUCAAAAUUGAAGACACACGCCUCUCUCUCCCCUCUUCUCUGAUUUUCUCCUUUGAGUUUUCAUCAUGACCCUACUUAGCUAAAACUUUUAUACUUGGUCGAAGGAAACUAAAGCCUCGGAAUCAAUAAAACUUUGAGAUCUAAUUUGUUUUUA